UGUGGGGCUUGACCCCAUGAACCGUGAGAUCAUGACCUGAGCAGAAGUCAAACACUUAACUGCCCCUCUCUUAAUACGUUUUACACCCAACUUUGAACAACUGGGCAAAUUUUACAUAAAAAUGCAGACUUCUGGUGGCUGUCAUAGGCAGUACAGGGCUGGCCUUCCCAUAGGGAUGGAAGGAGAAGCCAUGGCCCCCUAGGAUAGGUCUCCGGCUCCCUGACCUCAUCCAGCCCCCAACCCUCACAGGAGUCUGCACAUCUGCUUGUGGCCGGCGGGCUGUAGGCCGGCUACUGUGCCCACAGACUGUUGCGGUUCCCUUGGCCACGUCGGGGGUGCCGUCUGCUCUUGCCGAGGGGAACGCCGUCUCACCCACGUCCCUCACCCCACGUCUCUCCUGGGUUGCCGUGGCCCAUUUCGAACUGCCUCCAGCUCCAGGCCCCUCCCAGGUCCUCGCGGGCCCCCUUUCCGUGCCGAGCCUGCCAGGGACUCAGCAGGCACCCUCCUGGCUUCCCAGGGGUCUGCCCAGUUGUAACAGCAGGAAUACACCCCCCGAGUCACUGACCACAGGUAGACAGAACCGUGACUCCGGUCCCCAACUCCAGGUGAGACGGACAAAGGGAGUUUUCUCUGAUCUCUGGGGGUGGGGCCACAGGUGGAAAGAAUACCAGGGCUCUAGGGUCAGAAUGUCUCAGGUCCAAAUCCUACCUCUGCCUGUUAUCAGCUGUUGUGUGGCCCCGGGGCGGGUCACUUCAUCUCUGCUCAUGUACAAAACGCAACAAAACAGAAGAUGUGCUGGAGGGUCUGGUACAGAGUAGUCACUAUGUCGUGGGUCGCUGCCCCUGCCACGGCGAGGGUUCCGCGUGGCACAGUCCCACACGGGGUACUCAGGGGUCCGCCAGCCAGAAGCGAGCCCUUUCCCUGCCGCCCCUCUUUCUUCCAGGAAACAGUGGGCAGUGCUAGUGUUCACAGUCCGAUUCUGAGCUGCCGGGGGGUCCUGACCCUGCAACGGGACUUCACUUUCAGGUGGGGGAUUAAAUCCGGAUGGCGCGUCUGUGCGCCCUUCUCAGGGGCUCGCGCCCACCCCAGAGAAUCCUCUCUAUGCCGAGGCCGAGAGUGCCGGUAACGUCAGGUGCAGGAAUCAUUUUCUGAUUAGUGCCCCUUCCGUGGGUGUCCAGCUCAAUGUCAGGAGUCCUCUCUGUUAGUGGCACUUUCUGCCUUAGCUUAUCUUCACCGGUUAAGGAGAUGCCACAAUGUUAAUCCAUUGCAAGGGUUUUGAACAAACAGUCAUGAAUAUUUGAGCCUCUGCUUUGCCUACUAAGGGAAAUGCCAUCGAAGAUAAUUAUUUUUACGCCUGCCUGACAGAAAGAUGUACACAGAGGACAGGGAUUAUAUUACCCUCUGAGCAAAAUUCAGAAACCGUGAACCUAGAUGGUCCUCGUCUUCACUGCGAUUCUUCCUACGGCCGAAUAUGCCGAAUUUCUGGACCCGGAGGGGAAAAUGCCAGCAAAAGAGCUUAAACAGUGUUACCAGUGUCCUGACCAGGGGGACGGGACCUGGGCCGGGGUUCGGAGACAUGGACCCCUCUCUGGCACAUCGCUCUUCCCUCCCUGGCCAAGGGAUUUUAAGGAGAAACGUUAAGAUGGUGCACUCUCCCAGGGUCCUUACCACCGUCUGGAAGCAGGAGUGUAGCUGUGUCAGGAACGGGGGCUUGUCGAGCAAGGCCAGGACUCG
Molecule: long non-coding RNA, 1734 nt
Organism: Herpailurus yagouaroundi (jaguarundi)
Lineage: Eukaryota; Metazoa; Chordata; Mammalia; Carnivora; Felidae
Exons: 3
Source: RefSeq, a predicted model, not a curated record